CAACACAAAUCCAAAAUGGAUGUUACAGAGGCGACCUGCCGUACCCAUCAUCUGGACCCUCCAGGAUACUGCUAGUCCGAUUGUCCAGGAUGAUCCCACUUCCCGUCUCGCUGCCAUAUAUGGAGUUGCAGCGUGGCGUGCCCACCCUGCUGGAGAGCCCUGAGGUGAGCCAGGUUCUUAAUUGGAUAUACCUCUGCUCUUCUACAUCUGGAUCAUCCAUCUGAAGUUCCUUCCUCAUGGUGCCCUCUAUUUCUGCUGCCAGAGAGUCCUAGAGAAGAAGGCAAAAAAAAGAUUUAACAUAAGUUUAAGGUUCAUACCAUCUUGGCCUUCUUCUGGAGGUCUACAAUCUGGGAGAGGAGGUGUGU
This is a long non-coding RNA of Etheostoma spectabile (orangethroat darter), 365 nucleotides long. RefSeq lists it as uncharacterized. The transcript is spliced from 3 exons. The record is from RefSeq and is a predicted model, not a curated record. NCBI's taxonomy places the organism in Eukaryota, Metazoa, Chordata, Actinopteri, Perciformes, Percidae.